RNAcentral lists this unclassified non-coding RNA (442 nucleotides) under Hevea brasiliensis (rubber tree). The record is from RNAcentral. Lineage: Eukaryota; Viridiplantae; Streptophyta; Magnoliopsida; Malpighiales; Euphorbiaceae.
AUCAUUGCUAUGUACUAACUGUCUAAGGCAUUGCUCAAAACCAUUCCACCUCCAACCAACAUUGCUAAAACUAUGACAGCAUACUCUGAUUACAGAUGGGUGAAAAAAUGACUGGCAAACCCUCUAUGAAAUGCUCCAGUGAAGUCCAUUAUGACACCCACUUUGCAUUAAAAAAGUAGCUCUCUCUAAAUAGCACUUGCUUCUCGGGGUGGAUUGCAAUCCAAACUAUGAAUCCAGAACCAAACCAAAUAUUGUAUUAUCCAAUGUCAGGACAGGCGUUAAAAUCAAACCAACCAACAAAUGGCCUACUGCACUCGAUCAACCCAUUUCUGCUGGUAGUAAAAAAGAAAGAAUAAUUUCUGCAGUUAUGUAAAACCAAAUAUUAUUCUCAUCUCUUUUACUGAAGUUCAGCUUUCCCAUUAUGAAUCAUCGUAAAUCUUCG